RNA transcript from Capsicum annuum, 1163 nucleotides. RefSeq lists it as uncharacterized. The record is from RefSeq and is a predicted model, not a curated record. Lineage: Eukaryota; Viridiplantae; Streptophyta; Magnoliopsida; Solanales; Solanaceae. The transcript is spliced from 4 exons.
UAAUCAAUUCAAAAAAAAAAAAAAAAAACUGACAAUAUAGUAAACUCCUUCAAUUUCUUCAUAAUGUUUAGUAAUUUUAAAACUGUCUUCCUAAAAGUUCUCUUUCCUUAAUCUCCUUGUUUAACCAGAACGAAAUUAAAAAAUCAAGCCAGAUGAUAAGUAAGAGAAGCCGGAGAAAGCAACCCACAGAAAUAAGUAUUCUCCAUACAUACUGUGAAUUGUGACAGUGGAGUGGAGAGCCGAGCAAAUUAACUAAUUAUUAAUAUUUGAAGCUUUGAUCACUUUCUUUGAGCAGCACAUAUUUACUAGAUUUCACAAGAGAUGUAACCACAGAAGAAAGCCUUCCAAUAAUGCCUACAUAUGUGUUUGGUAUGAUGGAAAAUGUUUUCUAGAAAAUAUUUUCUCAUUUUCUGAUGUUUGGUUAUAAAAAGUUAUUGAGAAAUCAUUUUCCCAAGCAACUUAUUUUCCACCAUUUGAGGGAAAAUGACUUCCCUCGUGAACAAAGGGAAGUCAUUUUUCAGAUAAAAAAUUAGAGAAUACAGUUAUACCCCCAUCCCUCUUCUCCAGCACCAACAAGAGCAGAUCACCGUCGUCUCCACAAGCUAAUCGCCGUCGUCUCUAAUUUCAGGGCUUUUUCCCCACUGCAAUAAUUUCAAAGGAUGUGCAAGUAACCAAAGCUUCUCAAAUCAAGGCAAGUCGCAAAAGAAAACGUUUUUUUGAGGUGGAAGAUAUCGUAGGUGAUAUAUCAAUAAAGUUUGGGGAAGUGGCAACGGCAAUCGGUAGAAUGGUUGAUAGUCGUCUAGAUGUGACAAAGUUGUAUGAAAAAGUUAUCGCAAUGGAAGGUUAUAAUGAAGAGUUCCUCGGUGAUGCUUUUGAUUAUUUGGUGCAAAGCGACACUUUAGCUAAGGUAUUCAUGGUCAAAAAUCAAAAUCUUCGUAAGGUGUGGUUUGAACGAUUCAAGCAACAAUAAUAGUGACACCUAUUGGUUGGUUUAGCUACAUAGGAUUUGGAAGCAACUGUUAUUCGCACGCUUUUGUUUUUGAUAAUGCAUCGUGCAUUUGCUUUCAAACUUCUCUCCUUUCUUUUGUUUUUGAUAAUGUAUCUUGUAUUUGCUUUCGAACUUCUCUCUUUUGUGGGAAUUGAUAAUGUUGAGUUGUCUGAUA